UGAUUGGACCGCGGGGCCAACUGGUGUUGGGGGUGGAGCCUGAUCAUGGAGGUGUGGCCUGCAAAGGUCUAUCUUUCCCCUUGUCUCCGCCCUUCCCCAUUCCUGCGAGCCCUGUGGUGCGCACCUCUAUUCUUCCCAGUCCCUUCUUCUACGUGCUGACCAGACGAGGACUGACACUACUGCCCCCAGCAUCCACUUCAACUUCUCCUCCUUGAAGCUGCAGGAAUCAGGCCUGGAGUCCCCAGGGAGGAGGCGGGUGGUGUGGACACCGAGGGCUCCUUGAUUGGACAAUUGCUGGCAUGUGAUCACCUCUUGGCCCAAUGGUGUCACCAGGCAGAUUGACCAGAAUUAGACGCAGUCCCAGACCUGACUGGGGCGAUUCCUUCACCUUCUCCAGGGUACCCACCAUCUGGGAUCACUGUGAGCGGGAGGCCAGCCUGGGAUCAGGACAACCUGCACCUCAUAGUGAGACCUUGUCUCUAAACAAACAGAGAAAGAAACCAUUAAUAGGGCUUUGCCUGACUGUGCUUAAGAAAUGCUACACUUUGAAGAAAUAGUGAAGACCAAAAGGAAAUAACAGUACACACUAGAAAUGGGUCUUUUGUUUUUCAGUUGAACUCACUGUGUAGCUUCCACUGGCCUCAAACUUUUGAGGAUCCUCCUGCCUCUGCCUCCUGAGUGCUGAAGUUAUAGGUGUGCAUCCCUCUGCCCUACUUGGGCAAUUUACUCUAAAGAAUUUUCACACCACUCCCUCAAACUCAGCAGCUUUUGCAGUGCUGUCUAAGGCCCGAGAAAACUGCACUGCUCUUGCAAUAGCAUCUCAACCGUUUCCUUCAAUAAAUUACUGCUCAAUUUCUUUUAUUGAUGUGUUCAGCAGAAGCAACAGGAGCAGGAGGGGAAUUGAAGCAAUGCUUUCCCGAACUUGAAGCUUCAUGCCCUAAGCUAAUUUAGCUAAUCAUUGUUAGAUUUGAGACUUGGACCCGCUUAUGCAACGAUCUGAAAAUUUCCUGAUUCCGCUCCAGAAAAGCUUUGGCAGCUAUCAGUGUGCAAAUUUUCACGCAGCUUCCUGUGCCAUGAACGGUUUGGCAUUGUUUUAAUCUCACUGAUGGAGAAACUGCUUCUUACUAAGUCUCCUGCACUUUGGAGCUGUCUAUCUUCUGCUACAUCCGUCCAAUCUUUCAAGAGGCACAGAAUGCUCCUCUGGGGGAAAAAAAUAAAUCUACAAACACACAGAAAUCCUUCUUCAAAUAUUUUGACUGAAGUAUUCUGUAGAUCGAGAAUUUCUGGCACUCUUACACAACGUAUACUAAAAAGUCCUACUUCCCUCAUUUUGCACAAAUCUGCAUAUGACAAUAAACAUUGUCAAGAAAAUUUUGGUGCUAUCUUCAACGUCCUCUGUAUAACAACCCAUUUUUCCACUACCAUGACAAAUUACUGGAGGCUGGAGACUUUAUAAAGAAAAGAGUUUACAAAGAAAAGGCUGAGGACUGCAGCUCAGUGUUGCAGCACACAGCAUGAGGUCCUGGGUUAGAUUUUAAACACUGAAUAAAAGAGAUAGGAAGCCAGCCCAGCUGCAGGGGGCCAACUUGGUUUUUUUUUUUUAAAAUUUAUUUUUAUUUUUUAUUUUUUUUAUCAGUACUGGGGAUUGAACUCAUGACCUCGCGCUUGCAAGGCAGGUGCUUAUGCCCCUAAGCUAAAUCCCCAGCCAACUUGUUCAUUUUUUGAGGUCCUGGGAUUGGACUGUUGUGGUGCACUAAGCAGCAGCCCUGUCCUUUGCUCUGGGCUCUAGUCUGUCCUUGAGCUUUCAGCCUUCCUGCCUCAGCCUCCAGGAGCUGAGACCACAUGUGAGCCCUGCCACGUCCAGCUCAGGCUGAUUAUUGUUAUUAUUAUGUUUUAAAAUAAAUCUCUUGUGAGAACUGACUGGGGAGCUCUGAACCCCUCUCAGACCCUGUCUUGGAGCACGGGCACCCUGGGGACCAGCCAAUCAGUGUGAACCUUUGGGGGCUGCAUGAGCUGAACCAGAGCUUCUCUCUGCCACCCCAGGAAUCAAGGGGCAGUGGAGGAUCAGGCCCACACCUACAGAAGGAUGAGAGGUGUGGGGCUGGCCGCAACAUGUCAGGAAGGUGAACACUGUGUCACUGGAAGGUUCCAGUGCCCCCGGCUCCGCCCCACCACACCUAAUGACACUCUGGCAAGACUCCAGGGUUUUUCUUUCUCCUUUUGGUUUUUUUGAGUUUGAGCCUCACUAUCUGGUCCAGGCUGGCCUGGAACUCAUGGGGAUUCUUCCGCCUCAGCCUCCUCAGUGCUAGGAUUAUAGGUGUGCACUCCCAGGCCUGGCUGGACUGCAUAAUUUUUCUUGACAACUACCGGAUGUUGUGCUUGGGUUAAGACAAAACCAGCGUUAAUCUUACUGACACAGAAGCAUCCAGGCAUCUAUUUUUAUACUUUUGUACAGCAUACAUUAAAUGCAAUGUUAUUUUUAACAAUAUGCAUAUUUAUAUUUAAACAGAAAGCACAUAUACUGGGCGGUAGGAAAUGGCAGAAGAAAUUAGAUUUUCUACACUAGGUAAAUACAGUGUAUUACAUUAAUGCACACAUUUCCUCUAAAUGUUUUCUAGCUUUUUAAAAAAUAUUUGCUGCCUAACCUCUCCAUUAUUUUCUGUAAUUUGUAUUAGAAAAUACAUAUGUCCUUGUAAUUUUCUAAGUAUGCAUGAAUCAAAAUUUGGCAUCAUGGCACAUACUUGCAAUCCCAGCACUCUGGAGGCUGAGGCAGAGGACUCACCAUGAGUUUGGGACCAACCUGGGUUCCAUAGUGAGUCCAAGGCCAGCCUGAACGACAUGGUGGAACCCUGGCUGACAAAAUAAAAGUAAAUAAUUAAAUAAAAACUGCAAAGUACUCUGGUGCUAAGCUAGGACGCUGAGCAAGUUAGGGUAAGAAAUGCAUUUCCAGUUUAGCUUGGUGUGUCCCUGGGUAAGCAGAGGAGCCCGGACCCUGACACUUGGCUUCCCAGCCAUGUCCCCUGCCUGCUGUCUGUGUUCCUGCACCCCGCCUUGGAGUGUGUGGCCGCAUGUGGUCCGGUGGACCCCAGCUCAGCCCUGCUGUUCCUGAGUGGACCACAGAUCACAGCCCAGGUCCCCAGAGGGAUCCACAGAUGAGUGUCCCAGUGGCUGCUGCCCACUGCUCACCGUGCAACUCCUGUGCCCACCUGAAGCACGGUCCCAGCCAGGGACGCCCUUGGGAGCUGCAGGGACCUUCCAGGUGGCUGUGUCCGGCCCGCUGUCCGGGAGUCCCUCGGGCUGCAGGCCCUGAUGGUUUCCCAGGGCGGAGGGCGGGGAGGGGUGACAGAGGACCUCCAGAUGACAAGAGGGAGUUGUCCUAGCUCUAACCCGCCAAGUGUUCCAGGUGCCGAGCUCCUGCUGUCUUCGUUGGAGCAGCAAGUUCUAGGAACAGCAGAGGUAAGAAUAGGCAGUGUUCUGUCUCCAGCAUGUGUCACUGAGCAAAGCCAGGAGGCGAAGCGAGUGCUAGGUGGGACAGAGCUGCAGCCCACUGGUAGGAUUCCAGGACAGUCGCUCGGGUAACAUCGCUCCAGAAGGAAGUCACAGUGCCACAAGGGGCAAAGCCAUGGUGAUCCAGUAAGGUUACGGCAAGACCGGGGGCUCGGGUGACACUGACUAAAUGGGACACAGUCACGGAGCAGGCUCAGCUGGGCCUGACAAGGCCUUUCCUGGAAAGGGUGGGUCACGGAGGUUCGGCCCCCACCCCAAGGUGACUGUUGUCUGCUUAGAACACUGAUCCCAGCUCACUGCGGGGGAAGCGUGUGGGUGGGAACUUCCGAUUUGCUUGGAGCCGGGCCUGAGGUGGCUGGGCCUAGAGUCUUGGCUGUCCUUGCACUGACCCACCAGGGUCCCCACCUACAAGAUUUCCAGAUAACUUGGCUGCUGUCCCGGAGACUCCGAGGUUGGAGCAGCAGGCCCUGCCCUUAGUGAAGCCUCCAGGAGAGGGCCCACCUCCCCAGCUUCCUGAAGGGGACUGGGUGCCUGUGUCCACAUUCCCUUCUUCUCUGAGAAUACCAUCCCUGAGCUGCAUGGGUCUGUCAUGCCAGCACUCAGGAGGCUGAGGCGGGAGGAUCCCAAGUUUUUUGUCUCAAAGUAAAAAUAAAAGAAAAGAAAAGGUUGGAGCUGUAAGCCCGUGUGAAGGCCCUAAGUUCAAUCCUAGUGUGCUAAGAUAGGGCAUACAGGUGCACGCACAUGCAGACUCAGGGACAGGGCAGGGACACAGUGCCGGACACAGAGAACCUGGGGGGGGGGGUAAGACCCACCUGGCAUUUCUGGGAGGGGAGGCUUGGGCUCCUGAAAAUAAAGUGCGGGACCCUUCGGGAGGUCCGUGGCCCAACAGCUGUCAAACCAGGACCAGCCAGAGGUUGAAGGGCAAGAAACGCUCUGAGGGGAGCAGUGCAGGGCUGAGCUGGUCUUUUUAUUUUUUCUGAUGGCACCGAGACCGAUCCAGAGCCUUUGCACUGAGCUACUUCCCCAGGCCUUUUGAAAUUUUAUAUUUGGGGACUGGCCGGGCUGGAACCUGUGAUCCUCCUGCCUCAGCCUCCUGGAGAGCUAGUGAUAUAGGGGAAAUGCUAGAUGUCAGACACGCCACGUUCCUGAAGUCAAAGAGUGGAUUCUAAGGAACAGUGGAGGUUAAGAGUAGGAAAAUCUACUGGACAAGAGGGAUGAGAAUGGGAUGGGGUACAGGAACAGCUCCCGAGAGGCAGGCGGGGACCCGAAUGGGCUGUCGACCAGCACCUCCUGGAAGGAAAUCAUGAGGCAGCUACAGUGUGCAUCAGAAUUACGAUCGAUGAGGGUAUGUGGGUGACAUCCCUGGUCCCUGAGCUAGGUCUCGGUCUUGUCUUAGUCUACGUGGUCUUGGUCUUGGUCUUCUUGUUUUAGCCUUAGUGGGUGGGAGAGGAUGGCCCACCCCAAUGGGAUGAUGGGAAAUCUCCAAAGGCCAGCACCAAUGUCCCGAGCCUCCGUUCUUCCCCUGGGGAAGUGUGCAAAGCUGUGACUCCAGCCGCAGUCCCGGUGGACUCUCAUCUCCUGUGCUGACCCCCGAGGGCCCAGCCCCUCCGGCUGCCUGCUCUGUUCCCACCUCACUUUGCUGUCUGUGGAGCUGGGCUUGGGAACCAGGGAGAGUCACUUCCUGGUUGGGGUGCAGGCUGCUUUAGACUUGAGGGGCCUGGCACCCCAUGAUGGACUCAUCAGAGAUGUGUAGGAGCUGGGUCCGACCUCAGCUGCCAGAUGCUUGGGGACACUGUGGCUUCACAGGCCAGCCUUGCCCUUAGCAGCCCCUGGGACUGAGCUCUAGCACCUCCCAUUCCCAUGGGCCCCCACUUGCCGACCUGCAAAGCGGGUGACCAUGGCCUCUGUCUCCCCUUUUGUGGACAGCCCUGGCCCAGGCAGAGAACAGAUGCGUAUGCCCGCCUUGCCAGACCUCAAUGCUCAGCACCAAGUAGGAAGAAGGUGCUGAGGAUUGAACCUAGAGCCUUUGCACUGAGCUAUACCUUGAAGAUGAGAGCUCGCUGAGUUACUAAGUUACCCAGACCAGCCACAAACUUGUGAUCCUCAGCCGUCUCUGUACUGGGAUAAUUAAUGGGAGUGCAAUGCUUUGCCCAGAUGACUAGGGGUAUUUGUGUGUGUGUGUGUGUGUGUGUGUGUGUGUGUGUGUGUGUGCAUGUGUGUGACAGAGAAGAGAGAGAGAGAGAGAGAGAGAGAGAGAGAGAGAGACAGAGAGAGAGAGAGAGAGAGACAGAGAUAGACAGACAGAAAGACAGCGAGAUGGAGAGAGACAGAGAGACAGAGAAAGAGAGAGACUCUGUAGCCCAGGCUGGCCUUGAAUUCACAGCAAUCCUCCUGCCUCAGCCUCUGAGGGCUGGGCUGACAGUUGCACACUGCCACACCUGGUGGAAACAAAGUUCUUUGAGGGCUGUGGGUCACUAGCAGGGCCAGACACUGCCCCUCAGCAGCUGCUGUCUUUGAUGGGAGCAGGCCGACCCCAGCGCAGCCCUCUGUGCUCCGAGGCGUGCUGCUGACUGACUCAGGACUCAAGGUUGCUUCUUCUCAGGGCACACACCUCGGGGAAAUUUGCGAAAAUUCCACAGAAUCAUUUUGGUUUAUUUGAAUGGUUUUUGAGAAACCAGUGACUAAGAGAUGCACUGUGUCCCCGGAACCACUUCUGCUUCUGUGUGGCAGCCUGGGGAGCAGGUGCAAACUCUGAGGGCAGCAAAUCACCCUGGCCCUGACGUUGGGGGACCGUUGGUUUAAACAGUAAGUGUCAGCCCUGCGCUGACUGUGAACACCUGUCACCCCAGCACUCAGGAGGCUGAGGCAGGAGGGUCACCAUGAGUUUGAGGCCAGCCUGAACUACACAGUGAGACUCUGCCUCAGAAACAAAA
Molecule: long non-coding RNA, 6440 nt
Organism: Cavia porcellus (domestic guinea pig)
Lineage: Eukaryota; Metazoa; Chordata; Mammalia; Rodentia; Caviidae
Exons: 2
Source: RefSeq, a predicted model, not a curated record